UACGUAGGACACGAGCGUUAUCCGGAUUUACUGGGCGUAAAGCGUCUGCAGGCGGGUGUGUAAGUUGGACGUGAAAGCCCCGGGCUUAACUCGGGGAGGCCGUACAAUACUGCAUGCCUGGAGGGUGGUAGAGGGGAGCGGAAUUCCCGGUGUAGCGGUAAAAUGCGCAGAUAUCGGGAGGAACACCCGUGGCGAAGGCGGCUCCCUGGACCGACCCUGACGCUCAGAGACGAAAGCUAGGGGAGCAAACAGG
This 253-nucleotide ribosomal RNA is filed under the name uncultured bacterium. RNAcentral describes it as "partial 16S ribosomal RNA". It matches the Rfam family "Bacterial small subunit ribosomal RNA", at positions 524 to 776 of the family's 1533-position model. The record is from RNAcentral.